Molecule: long non-coding RNA, 846 nt
Filed under: Neodiprion pinetum (white pine sawfly)
Lineage: Eukaryota; Metazoa; Arthropoda; Insecta; Hymenoptera; Diprionidae
Description: uncharacterized LOC124216006, transcript variant X3
Source: RNAcentral
CGCUCUGUAGACAUCACUAAUUGCCGUAAACAAUGUCGCAAAAAUAAUACACAUAUCUACAUAUACGAGAACAAAGUGGAAUAAUUACAGUGUUUUUCGCUAAUCGCGGAAAUGAUCGCGACGAGAAUGCGACACUGAGACUGCGGCAAGGCUUCGGUUUCUUAGAAACAGAGAGAGAAGAAGAAUUAGUUGUCAAAAUAAGACCGGGAUUGUUAUUGCCGACGACGAUAAGAAUCGUCGAUGAGCUUUUCUUCUUUUCAACGAAGACGUUUAUACAUCUGUGCGUGUUCCUUGAAUUAUUACGGAGAUACUUCCGAAGUUAUUCGAAGCAAUUACGAAGGUUCGAAAAGUGAACUGCUCCUUGGGGAAAAUGAAACGUACAUAUAUCGAUCGUAUUACCUCAAAUGUGUGGGAUAAAAAGUGACCAGCACACAGUAAACCACACUAACUCCCAUCGAUGUCAGGGCUUCGAAUAUACAAGAAACUAUCAGAUUCUGUGUCGAUGACGUUACGAAGAAGAGACCAACGGCAGCAGCGCCCGGAAACACAGUGCUGACGACUGAAAAAUUAAAGUUGACGUCCGAUGCAUAAGGGAAGCCAGACGCUGGUGGGAAUGCAGGCCAGACCCAGAAAAAUUGUGUAAAGGAAGACGGAACCCUGGAGUUUGGUCUCACACCCAAAUUCAUCUACGACGUCUACCUGCUGAAGAUUGUUUUAAGCACAUCAGCCACUACUUACGGGAUAAUUUUCGGCCGGCUUUCCCGAGUUCUCAGCGUACAUCCGAGCCAGAAUCUGCAUCGCUCGGUGAUCCUGACUGUCCUCAAACAGGUACUUUGGUGAUUCUGG